Molecule: long non-coding RNA, 502 nt
Filed under: Sus scrofa (pig)
Lineage: Eukaryota; Metazoa; Chordata; Mammalia; Artiodactyla; Suidae
Description: lncRNA (ENSSSCG00070020685.1)
Source: RNAcentral
GCUGCUGUGAGGCUGCUCUUCCCCGACCGGACGAAGAGCGGCAGUGUCUCCCCGCCCGGCACUCGCCGCGCGUCUCCCCCCCGCGGCCGUCGCUGCUCGCCAGCCCUGCACCGCGCCGGAGAGCGCAGUGGCGGCGGCGGGAAAGGGCUGCGGACCCGCGGCGCCGCGUCGCACACUCGACGACGCGGCCCCGGCCUCGACGCCCUCCGCCCGCUCCUGGAGCAGUAAGAAGACAUUAUGUUGGAUAAUAGGAAGAGCUGUAGAGUUUGCAGGUGUCAACCGUGGCCUUAAUAAGCACACUGAUAGCAUCAAUGCCAGACAGAUGGCACAUGUGGCUGAUGGCUGCCAUAUUGACAUUGCAGUUCUGGAAGAUGGAGAGAUAUAUGACACAAUAAAUUUAAUUAAAAGGUCCUAUUACUGCUGGAUUGUGCAAGAUAUUUAACACUCUUUUCUUUGAGGUAUGACUUAAAUAUAAAACAUCUUAAAUAAGAAAAGGGAAACA